GACGAACGCUGGCGGCGUGCUUAACACAUGCAAGUCGAACGGAAAGGCCCUGCUUUUGUGGGGUGCUCGAGUGGCGAACGGGUGAGUAACACGUGAGUAACCUGCCCUUGACUUUGGGAUAACUUCAGGAAACUGGGGCUAAUACCGGAUAGGAGCUCCUGCUGCAUGGUGGGGGCUGGAAAGUUUCGGCGGUUGGGGAUGGACUCGCGGCUUAUCAGCUUGUUGGUGGGGUAGUGGCUUACCAAGGCUUUGACGGGUAGCCGGCCUGAGAGGGUGACCGGCCAAAUUGGGACUGAGAUACGGCCCAGGCUCCUAGGGGGGGCAGCAGGGGGGAAUAUUGCCCAAGGGGCGGAAGCCGGAUGCAGCAACGCCGCGGGGGGGAUGACGGCCUUCGGGUUGUAAACCGCUUUCGCCUGUGACGAAGGGGGGGGGGCGGUAAGGGGUAAAGAAGCACCGGCUAACUACGU
Molecule: ribosomal RNA, 467 nt
Filed under: uncultured bacterium
Lineage: Bacteria
Description: partial 16S ribosomal RNA
Rfam family: Bacterial small subunit ribosomal RNA
Source: RNAcentral